Heterocephalus glaber (naked mole-rat) is the source of this 323-nucleotide long non-coding RNA. The record is from Ensembl. Lineage: Eukaryota; Metazoa; Chordata; Mammalia; Rodentia; Bathyergidae.
AUUUGCCAUCAGUUUAAGAAAUAAUAUCUGUAUAAAUGUUCCAAACUAUGUAGAUGGUAUCAUUCUUUAUUAAUUAAUACCUUUCUUUAGUAUCUGUCAAAAAUAUUAUUUUUCUUUUAGGUAUCUUGUGUCUUGAUGUAUCUUCUUAUCCUAUCUAUAGGUUCCUUUGGAUUUUCUGUGUGAUAUCAACUAAAAUAUUUCAACUGGAAAUACUAAAAUUGUCUCCUCUGCUUUGGAGAUACCCAUUUCUGUGUCUUCUGACUUCCUUCAGAGGUCAAUUCUCAGUUUAACUGAUGCUCUUUGACAAUAAACUUUGUCUUCCC